Molecule: unclassified non-coding RNA, 187 nt
Filed under: Celastrus hindsii
Lineage: Eukaryota; Viridiplantae; Streptophyta; Magnoliopsida; Celastrales; Celastraceae
Description: partial contains external transcribed spacer and 18S ribosomal RNA
Source: RNAcentral
UUUGUAAGCCAUCGGCUCAUCUCUUGGCCCAUGCUCGGUUACCUGACCCUCGGAUGCUGAAAAUUAAGUGGGCAAGGGGUUGAGAAACCCCUCCGAUAAGCCCGAGCCUAGCGCUCGUCGCUCGAACCGAAAGACGUUGUGGCUCGCCUUGGUGUUCUUGAACCAUGGGUUCUCGUAACGGCCAUGC